This 588-nucleotide ribosomal RNA is filed under the name uncultured bacterium. RNAcentral's name for it is "partial 16S ribosomal RNA". It matches the Rfam family "Bacterial small subunit ribosomal RNA", at positions 355 to 1375 of the family's 1533-position model. The record is from RNAcentral.
UGGGGAAUUUUGGACAAUGGGCGAAAGCCUGAUCCAGCAAUGCCGCGUGUGUGAAGAAGGCCUUCGGGUUGUAAAGCACUUUUGUCCGGAAAGAAAUCCUUGGCUCUAAUACAGUCGGGGGAUGACGGUACCGGAAGAAUAAGCACCGGCUAACUACGUGCCAGCAGCCGCGGUAAUACGUAGGGUGCAAGCGUUAAUCGGAAUUACUGGGCGUAAAGCGUGCGCAGGCGGUUUGCUAAGACCGAUGUGAAAUCCCCGGCGUCACCUAGGCACUGGCAAUGGUGAUGCUGGGCAGGCUAGAGUAUGGCAGAGGGGGGUAGAAUUCCACGUGUAGCAGUGAAAUGCGUAGAGAUGUGGAGGAAUACCGAUGGCGAAGGCAGCCCCCUGGGCCAAUACUGACGCUCAUGCACGAAAGCGUGGGGAGCAAACAGGAUUAGAUACCCUGGUAGUCCACGCCCUAAACGAUGUCAACUAGUUGUUGGGGAUUCAUUUCCUUAGUAACGUAGCUAACGCGUGAAGUUGACCGCCUGGGGAGUACGGUCGCAAGAUUAAAACUCAAAGGAAUUGACGGGGUCAUAGCUGUUUCCU